RNAcentral lists this ribosomal RNA (503 nucleotides) under Callinectes sapidus (blue crab). Its description in RNAcentral is "partial large subunit ribosomal RNA". It matches the Rfam family "Bacterial large subunit ribosomal RNA", at positions 1854 to 2604 of the family's 2925-position model. The record is from RNAcentral. Lineage: Eukaryota; Metazoa; Arthropoda; Malacostraca; Decapoda; Portunidae.
CUAGCCUGCUCNCUGACAUAAAGUGUUAAAUAGUCGCGGUAUUUUGACCGUGUCAAGGUAGCAUCAUCGUUAAUUUCUUAAUUGGGAACUUGUAUGAAUGGUUGGAUAACGAAAAAUCUGUCUCUUGCACUGGAAUUGAAUUUAACUUCUAAGUGAAAAGGCUUAGAUUAUCCAGAGGGACGAUAAAACCCUAUAAAGCUUUAUAAAAUUAUUAAUUUCGUUUACUUUUUAUUAUAAUAAUGAUGAUAAGAGAAUUUAUCCGGUUGGGGUAACCGAAGCAUAAUUUUAAAUAGCUGAUAUAAUUUAAUACAAUGAUUUUUGUCUUAUAUAAUAAUUGAUCCUUAAAGAGAGUAAAGACCAACUUACUUUAGGGAUAACAGCGUAAUUUAUCCUGAGAGUUCUUAUCAAAGGAAAAGUUUGCGACCUCGAUGUUGAAUUAAAAUGUCUACCUAGUGCAGCAGCUAGGAAAGAAGGUCUGUUCGACCUUUAAUUUUUUACAUGAU